Molecule: long non-coding RNA, 1314 nt
Organism: Astyanax mexicanus (Mexican tetra)
Lineage: Eukaryota; Metazoa; Chordata; Actinopteri; Characiformes; Acestrorhamphidae
Exons: 3
Source: RefSeq, a predicted model, not a curated record
AAAAUGUAGGUUACACAGAAAGUCAGUCAGUUUUUUUUAGCUUAGCAGACUAUGAUACUGGUCAGUUACCUCAGCAUGCUAACGCUAAGCUAAUCUUUUUAACUUGCAUCUUUCAAGAUAUGACCAGAAAUUAUAUUGAGACCCCAUCUCCUGUGUUCAGCAUUCCAAAUGAAGUUCAGUAGGCAGGUGUUUAAAGAUGUAGACACACACACCGAUCACAUGCAUGUUGCCCAAGCUGGAGAAGGUCCCUGCUGCCACCUUGCGGAUGUGAUUAUCGUGGAUGCGGAGCUCCACAAGUGAUGCAGGCAGGUUGCGGGGGAUGGAGGUCAGUUGGUUGUGGGAAAUGUAGAGUUUCUGUAGCCGCUUCAGAGGCACGAAUGCCCGUGGGUGCACCCUGGAGAUCUGAUUACUCCUCAGUACCAGAGCCUUUUAAACACAUACACACACACACACACACACACACACACACAAAGAAUUUAGGUGAAAUACAAUGCAGCAACUACAAAUCUCUGUGUUAGGGUAGAAGUUUAAACUGUAAAAUGUAAACAUUUCUAAUAAAGUGGCCAGUGAGUGGAAGCACAAGGUAGAGUUAGGUGUUUCCAAUAUAGUAGCCAGAGAGUUUAAGCAAAAAGUAGAGGUUGGUGGUUCUAAUAAAGUGGCCUGUGAGUCUCUUACAUAGAGGUUGGUGAGGCCUUUGAAGUCUCCCUCUCUGAUCUCUGUGAUCCUGUUACACUGCAGGUCCAGCAGAAGUGUGUCUGAGGGGAUGUCAUACGGCACAUAGGUCAAACCUGCAAACACCACACACAGCACACACACACACAAAUUAACAAACAAAUACUGUAACUCUCACUGAUCCACGAUAAUAAGUACAUUUGAUUAUUUGUCUAGUUAACUAACAAUUGUUCAUCUGCUUAUUUGAUUCUUUGCUUUGUCAAACUACUCUUUGCCUGGUUAAAUGGAUACAUUUUCCCCUUUAUGAGUAUUUGCCUGCUUAAAUGGUCCUUUGCCUAGUUAAAUGAUUUCUGAUUUGGUUCAGUUUUUCGUUGCAUGUUUUUUGCCUGGGUAAAUUAACCAUUUCUUUGUUAAAAUAUUCUUUUGUUUAUUCCUUUGUUGCCUAGAUUAUUCUUUGCUCACAUAAAUGAUUCUUUGCUUGGUUAAAUGAUUAUUUGUCUGGGUAAAUGAGUCUCUGGGUGGGCUUUUUAAUUCAUUAUAUUGUAUAUUUGUUCUGCUGUGGUCUGUUUGUCAUCUAAUCCUGCGUGUGAGGGUGUGUAUGUUUGUGUUUGUGUAUGUGUGUGUGUGUGUGUGUGUGUGUGU